AUUGAACGCUGGCGGCAUGCCUUACACAUGCAAGUCGAACGGCAGCACGGGUGCUUGCACCUGGUGGCGAGUGGCGAACGGGUGAGUAACAUAUCGUAACAUACCUUGUCGUGGGGGAUAACUAUCCGAAAGGAUAGCUAAUACCGCAUACGCUCUAAGGAGGAAAGUGGGGGAUCGCAAGACCUCAUGCGAUAAGAGUGGCCGAUAUCUGCUUAGCUAGUUGGUGGGGUAAAGGCCUACCAAGGCGACGAUCUGUAGUUGGUCUGAGAGGACUACCCGCCACACUGAGACUGAGCGACGGCCCAGACUCCUAAGGGAGGCAGCAGUGGGGAAUUUUGGACAAUGGGCGCAAGCCUGAUCCAGCAAUGCCGCGUGCAGGAAGAAGGCCUUCGGGUUGUAAACUGCUUUUGUCAGGGAAGAAAUCCUCUGGGUUAAUACCCCGGGGGGAUGACGGUACCUGAAGAAUAAGCACCGGAUAACUACGUGCCAGCCGCCGCCGUAA
Molecule: ribosomal RNA, 502 nt
Filed under: uncultured bacterium
Lineage: Bacteria
Description: partial 16S ribosomal RNA
Rfam family: Bacterial small subunit ribosomal RNA
Source: RNAcentral